Molecule: long non-coding RNA, 863 nt
Filed under: Medicago truncatula (barrel medic)
Lineage: Eukaryota; Viridiplantae; Streptophyta; Magnoliopsida; Fabales; Fabaceae
Description: long non-coding RNA (MTRU_LNC003101)
Source: RNAcentral
CUCUCUAAUAUAAUUAAACAUAAAUUAAAGUACCUAUUUAAAUAUAAUUUUGUUACAGGCAAAAAUAUAUAUUAUUAAAUAAAAUGGGAAAAAUAUAUAAAAAAAAAUUUGGGGACAUAAACCUAACCCAAAAAAUCGACAUAAAAGUGUAGGUUGACCCAAACGGGUAAUACAAAAAAUUAAAACAACACAAGUGGAAUUGCCUCUAUUUUAUCCUCAAACUAAACAAAGGUCUAAAGUUCCGUGAAUGGAUUGUCCGUAAACACAGAAGAAGGACCACGUACCAUCAACUCCUUACAACGAAUAACAUCAAGCUUAACGACUCUUUCGAGCUCCACAUUCCAACUCAAACAUAGUGAAUGAAAUCACAUUGAGUACAUAACCAUUUCUAGCCAUACAGUCUCAAUUCAAUCAUGAAGCAUUGAAACAAAUUAAAGCACAACCCCAAAUUAUUCAAAAGAAGUGUUGGAGUACAAAUUGGAUUUGAAACUGGAUCUGUAACACGAAACCGGAUCCGAUGGAUCUCACUCAAAAGGGUUUGAGAGAGCUAUGGUGAACCCAAAAGAACACCAUUUGUGCCGUUGACGGCGACCUUAGAACAACAAAACAGCUGCCACUGCCGAGGAACCCCCAAAACAUUAACCACAGGCAGUGACGGUGAUCUAGAACACUAGAUCGAGCUACUAUGACAACCAAACACCGUAAACCAAUAAGCUAACAUGACAAAUCAUGCAAAGUUAUGGCUAAAAAAUAAGCUAUGACAAACCGCAUGUCAAAUAUAUGCCUUAAAUUUUUUGACAGGUCAAACUUAGACCUUGCAAAACCUAUUUCCACUCGUAAUACCGGGCAUGGAGCCAAAUCUU